RNAcentral lists this ribosomal RNA (404 nucleotides) under Actinomycetes bacterium. RNAcentral describes it as "Actinobacteria bacterium partial 16S ribosomal RNA". It matches the Rfam family "Bacterial small subunit ribosomal RNA", at positions 355 to 776 of the family's 1533-position model. Lineage: Bacteria; Bacillati; Actinomycetota; Actinomycetes. The record is from RNAcentral.
UGGGGAAUAUUGGACAAUGGGCGCAAGCCUGAUCCAGCCAUGCCGCGUGAGUGAUGAAGGCCCUAGGGUUGUAAAGCUCUUUCACCGGUGAAGAUAAUGACGGUAACCGGAGAAGAAGCCCCGGCUAACUUCGUGCCAGCAGCCGCGGUAAUACGAAGGGGGCUAGCGUUGUUCGGAUUUACUGGGCGUAAAGCGCACGUAGGCGGACUAUUAAGUCAGGGGUGAAAUCCCGGGGCUCAACCCCGGAACUGCCUUUGAUACUGGUAGUCUUGAGUUCGAGAGAGGUGAGUCGAAUUCCGAGUGUAGAGGUGAAAUUCGUAGAUAUUCGGAGGAACACCAGUGGCGAAGGCGGCUCACUGGCUCGAUACUGACGCUGAGGUGCGAAAGCGUGGGGAGCAAACAGG